AGAGUUUGAUCCUGGCUCAGGACGAACGCUGGCGGCGUGCCUAAUACAUGCAAGUCGAGCGAACUGAUUAAGAAGCUUGCUUCUUAUGACGUUAGCGGCGGACGGGUGAGUAACACGUGGGCAACCUGCCCUAUAGUUGGGGAUAACUCCGGGAAACCGGGGCUAAUACCGAAUGAUACAUUUUAACUCCUGUUAGAAUGUUGAAAGAUGGUUUACGCUAUCGCUAUAGGAUGGGCCCGCGGCGCAUUAGCUAGUUGGUGAGGUAACGGCUCACCAAGGCGACGAUGCGUAGCCGACCUGAGAGGGUGAUCGGCCACACUGGGACUGAGACACGGCCCAGACUCCUACGGGAGGCAGCAGUAGGGAAUCUUCCACAAUGGGCGAAAGCCUGAUGGAGCAACGCCGCGUGAGUGAAGAAGGUUUUCGGAUCGUAAAACUCUGUUGUAAGGGAAGAACAAGUACAGUAGUAACUGGCUGUGCCUUGACGGUACCUUAUUAGAAAGCCACGGCUAACUACGUGCCAGCAGCCGCGGUAAUACGUAGGUGGCAAGCGUUGUCCGGAUUUAUUGGGCGUAAAGCGCGCGCAGGUGGUUUCUUAAGUCUGAUGUGAAAGCCCACGGCUCAACCGUGGAGGGUCAUUGGAAACUGGGAGACUUGAGUGCAGAAGAGGAAAGUGGAAUUCCAAGUGUAGCGGUGAAAUGCGUAGAGAUUUGGAGGAACACCAGUGGCGAAGGCGACUUUCUGGUCUGUAACUGACACUGAGGCGCGAAAGCGUGGGGAGCAAACAGGAUUAGAUACCCUGGUAGUCACGCCGUAAACGAUGAGUGCUAAGUGUUAGGGGGUUUCCGCCCCUUAGUGCUGCAGCUAACGCAUUAAGCACUCCGCCUGGGGAGUACGGUCGCAAGACUGAAACUCAAAGGAAUUGACGGGGGCCCGCACAAGCGGUGGGGCAUGUGGUUUAAUUCGAAGCAACGCGAAGAACCUUACCAGGUCUUGACAUCCCAUUGACCGCUAUGGAGACAUGGCUUUCCCUUCGGGGACAGUGGUGACAGGUGGUGCAUGGUUGUCGUCAGCUCGUGUCGUGAGAUGUUGGGUUAAGUCCCGCAACGAGCGCAACCCUUGUUCUUAGUUGCCAUCAUUUAGUUGGGCACUCUAAGGAGACUGCCGGUGAUAAACCGGAGGAAGGUGGGGAUGACGUCAAAUCAUCAUGCCCCUUAUGACCUGGGCUACACACGUGCUACAAUGGACGGUACAAACGGUUGCCAACCCGCGAGGGGGAGCUAAUCCGAUAAAACCGUUCUCAGUUCGGAUUGUAGGCUGCAACUCGCCUACAUGAAGCCGGAAUCGUUAGUAAUCGCGGAUCAGCAUGCCGCGGCGAAUACGUUCCCGGGCCUUGCACACACCGCCCGUCA
RNAcentral lists this ribosomal RNA (1412 nucleotides) under uncultured bacterium. RNAcentral describes it as "bacterial SSU rRNA". It matches the Rfam family "Bacterial small subunit ribosomal RNA". The record is from RNAcentral.